AUGUAAAUUCCUACAAUAGAGCGUUAAUGCAUUGGAUCCCAUUAGAAAUCCACAGUUAAGUGCGUUCAGGCUAGAGUAGUAUUGGGAUGGGUGACUUCCCAGCAAGUCCUAGUGUUUUACAUG
This is a non-coding RNA of Picea glauca (white spruce), 123 nucleotides long. NCBI's taxonomy places the organism in Eukaryota, Viridiplantae, Streptophyta, Pinopsida, Pinales, Pinaceae. The record is from Rfam.